This is a long non-coding RNA of Amborella trichopoda, 1602 nucleotides long. RefSeq lists it as uncharacterized. The record is from RefSeq and is a predicted model, not a curated record. Lineage: Eukaryota; Viridiplantae; Streptophyta; Magnoliopsida; Amborellales; Amborellaceae.
AAUGAGAAGCAGAGAGACUAAGUAAUCAAAUUUUGUUUUUUAUUUUGUUAAUUGUAAACUUACAAGAGCAGGUAAUUGUACAUAUAGGAAUAGUUUGCCAAACUUAAUCAUUCAACUCUGCUUGCUGUUUCUCCAAAAAAAUGAAAAAUCCUCUUAAAACUAUUCCAAAUCAGAAAGAAAAACCAUUUUCAAACUAUCCCAAAUCAGCAUCCUAUUUUCUUUUUCUCUCUCUAAAAAUUAGUCAGGGCUCUUCCAUUAGGGUUCUUCCUUUUCUCUCUCUAAAAAUCAGUUAAGAUCUCUUCUAUUAGGGUUCUUCCUUUUUUCUCUCUAAAAAUCAGUGAGGGCCUCUUCCAUUAGGUUUUAUGAAGCCCAUGACCUCUUUUUUUUUCCUUCUUCUCUCCAUACACCCUAAUGGCCAUGAGCAAAGCCCUAUUUUCUUCUCUUCUUUCUUCCUUCUUCUCUCUCUAAACCGUAAACACAUAUGUGAAACCCAAAUUUCUGUAAGCUUAUUUUCAAUUAAAGAAAUUUAUAAAACUUUAACCAUAGUUGUGGAGUGACCAUAGUCACCAUAAUGUAGUUAAAUCAUUUUAAUGAGAAAACAAAAAUAAUGUAUUUUGUGGGGGCAGUUUUCAUACGGAUGCCUAAUAUACGCAGUCCAUACAUUUCGACGGCCAUGAUUGCAUAGUAAAAAAAAAAAAGCAAAACCGGUGAUCGUCGGGAGCGAUUUUUGCUUCCCUCAGCAUGUCCCUAUGCCACACGAGGCUUGGAGAUUAGACUGGAGGAAGAGGAAUUUAGAGAGAAAGAGCGGAUAGUUGGAUUGAAAGAGAAGAGGAAGAGAUGUUGAGAGAGAGAGAAAAAGGGGAGAGUUGGGGUGAGAAGAGAAAAAAAGGAAGAAAAGUUCAGAUUGGAAGCUUCGGGGUUAUAGGGUGUACAGUCAUAAGCUUGAGCUGCAAGUUAUUGAAGCUCAAAUCCUUCAUCAAAUUUUCCCGGGCAUCAUCUUUAGGUGACUUGGGUACCAUACAAGUAGGCCAAAGGAGAGGAAUAUAGUGCAUUAGACCUUGGUAGUAAGGAAACAAUAUUGUAUCUGACAUACCUACUAAGGUUCAACAUCGCAGAGUAUGAUAUGCCCAACCACGUACUUAAACAAUUUGGGAAGGUGUAAGGAAUUCCGAUUGAACCUCCAAAGUGGUAUAGGAGGGAGAAGGUCAAUAGACGCCCUACAAGUUGGAUAGACGAGUUGAAAUUGGAGAUAAGUGAUUGGCACGAACAACAACACCAUGUUGUUGAAGCUGUCAGGUGUUUGUUCUUGCACCACCCUCACAAUCCACAUGUGAGGAACCGCAAUGGAAUUUUCGACAUCGUAAGGAAAGCUUGCUAAGGAAGCUAAUGAGAAGGGGAAGGUUCCACUUAGCUAGCCAAAAAAAUUACAAAGGCGAAGAAAGUGAUGAUAUAGUGUAUAGAUUUGAGUCUCUUACAUAUUUGUUUUUUUAAUGAAUAUGUAUUUUGAUUAGAGCAAGUUCGAUUUGGACAUGCUAAAUGAAAGAGUAUUAUAUGCUAUAAGUUAUAUGAUAUAUACUUCUCAUUUAUUUUGCCUUCAUUACA